RNAcentral lists this transfer RNA (76 nucleotides) under Candidatus Pelagibacterales bacterium. RNAcentral describes it as "Pelagibacterales bacterium tRNA-Ala". It matches the Rfam family "tRNA". Rfam says of the family: Transfer RNA (tRNA) molecules are approximately 80 nucleotides in length. Their secondary structure includes four short double-helical elements and three loops (D, anti-codon, and T loops). Further hydrogen bonds mediate the characteristic L-shaped molecular structure. tRNAs have two regions of fundamental functional importance: the anti-codon, which is responsible for specific mRNA codon recognition, and the 3' end, to which the tRNAs corresponding amino acid is attached (by aminoacyl-tRNA synthetases). tRNAs cope with the degeneracy of the genetic code in two manners: having more than one tRNA (with a specific anti-codon) for a particular amino acid; and 'wobble' base-pairing, i.e. permitting non-standard base-pairing at the 3rd anti-codon position. The record is from RNAcentral. Lineage: Bacteria; Pseudomonadati; Pseudomonadota; Alphaproteobacteria; Candidatus Pelagibacterales.
GGGGCUAUAGCUCAUCUGGGAGAGCGCGUCGCUGGCAGUGACGAGGUGGUCGGUUCAAGUCCGACUAGCUCCACCA